AAUAGAUACCCUGGUAGUCCAUGCCGUAAACGUUGGGCGCUAGAUGUGGGGACCAUUCCACGGUUUCCGUGUCGCAGCUAACGCAUUAAGCGCCCCGCCUGGGGAGUACAGCCGCAAGGCUAAAACUCAAAGGAAUUGACGGGGGCCCGCACAAGCGGCGGAGCAUGCGGAUUAAUUCGAUGCAACGCGAAGAACCUUACCAAGGCUUGACAUAUACGAGAACGCUCUAGAAAUAGAGAACUCUUUGGACACUCGUAUACAGGUGGUGCAUGGUUGUCGUCAGCUCGUGUCGUGAGAUGUUGGGUUAAGUCCCGCAACGAGCGCAACCCUCGUUCUAUGUUGCCAGCGGUUCGGCCGGGAACUCAUAGGAGACUGCCGGGGUCAACUCGGAGGAAGGUGGGGAUGACGUCAAAUCAUCAUGCCUCUUAUGUCUUGGGCUUCACGCAUGCUACAAUGGCCGGUACAAAGGGCUGCAAUACCGUAAGGUGGAGCGAAUCCCAAAAAGCCGGUCUCAGUUCGGA
Molecule: ribosomal RNA, 521 nt
Filed under: uncultured bacterium
Lineage: Bacteria
Description: bacterial SSU rRNA
Rfam family: Bacterial small subunit ribosomal RNA
Source: RNAcentral